RNAcentral lists this ribosomal RNA (512 nucleotides) under uncultured bacterium. RNAcentral's name for it is "partial 16S ribosomal RNA". It matches the Rfam family "Bacterial small subunit ribosomal RNA", at positions 28 to 523 of the family's 1533-position model. The record is from RNAcentral.
GAUGAACGCUGGCGGCAUGCCUAAUACAUGCAAGUCGAACGAGAGGAAGGAAAGCUUGCUUUCCUGAAUCUAGUGGCGAACGGGUGAGUAACACGUAGGUAACCUGCCCAUGUGCCCGGGAUAACUUCUGGAAACGGAUGCUAAAACCGGAUAGGUAGCAGACAAGCAUUUGACUGCUAUUAAAGUGGCCUUGGCCAUGAACAUGGAUGGACCUGCGGUGCAUUAGCUAGUUGGUGAGGUAACGGCCCACCAAGGCGACGAUGCAUAGCCGGCCUGAGAGGGCGGACGGCCACAUUGGGACUGAGACACGGCCCAAACUCCUACGGGAGGCAGCAGUAGGGAAUUUUCGUCAAUGGGGGGAACCCUGAAUGAGCAAUGCCGCGUGAGUGAGGAAGGUCUUCGGAUCGUAAAGCUCUGUUGUAAGAGAAAAACGGCACUCAUAGGGAAUGAUGAGUGAGUGAUGGUAUCUUACCAGAAGGUCACGGCUAACUACGUGCCAGCCGCCGCCGUAA